Molecule: ribosomal RNA, 253 nt
Filed under: uncultured bacterium
Lineage: Bacteria
Description: partial 16S ribosomal RNA
Rfam family: Bacterial small subunit ribosomal RNA
Source: RNAcentral
UACGGAGGGGACUAGCGUUGUUCGGAAUUACUGGGCGUAAAGCGCGCGUAGGCGGAUUUGUAAGUCGGGGGUGAAAUCCCGGGGCUCAACCUCGGAACUGCCUUCGAUACUGCAAAUCUCGAGUCCGGAAGAGGUGAGUGGAAUUCCUAGUGUAGAGGCGAAAUUCGUAGAUAUUAGGAAGAACACCAGUGGCGAAGGCGGCUCACUGGUCCGGUACUGACGCUGAGGCGCGAAAGCGUGGGGAGCAAACAGG